CCCUUAGAUGUUCUGGGCCGCACGCGUGCUACACUGAGUAAUUCAAUGGGUAAGGGAACGCUAGAGCAUUACCUAAUCUUGAAAUUUGCUCGUGAUGGGGAUCGACGGUUGCAAUUUUCCGUCGUGAACGAGGAAUACCUUGUAGGCGCAUGUCAUCAUCAUGCGCCGAAUACGUCCCUGCCCUUUGUACACACCGCCCGGCGCUCCUACCGAUUGAGUGAUCCGGUGAGGCUCUGGGACCUGGACGGAAAGAGCGUUUCGCUUGUUCUGUUUGGGAAACUUGGUCGAACCUUAUCAUUUAGAGGAAGGAGAAGUCGUAACA
This 322-nucleotide ribosomal RNA is filed under the name uncultured eukaryote. RNAcentral's name for it is "partial 18S ribosomal RNA". It matches the Rfam family "Eukaryotic small subunit ribosomal RNA", at positions 1470 to 1796 of the family's 1831-position model. The record is from RNAcentral.